Gossypium raimondii (Peruvian cotton) is the source of this 2729-nucleotide RNA transcript. RefSeq lists it as uncharacterized. The transcript has 14 exons. The record is from RefSeq and is a predicted model, not a curated record. Lineage: Eukaryota; Viridiplantae; Streptophyta; Magnoliopsida; Malvales; Malvaceae.
CAACGAAGUUGGAAGCCCAUAGAUUCCUUACGCUUCACACACUUCACACAUAUCGUAUCCGGUGAAUGGGCUGUGGAAAAGGGAAUCACUCGCUGUUUGUCUUUGUUUCUACUCGUUUCUUUUCUUCUAUCUUUCUGCAAACUUCUUGGUAAAUUCUCUCAAAGCCCACGCAAUUUUAUCAAAUUGCACCAAGUCCCAUUCCCAGAUUUCGAGGACCCAAAUUAAACCAAACCCUUGCAAUUGACAGCUGAACCCCAACAAAACCCUAAUUUCUCAAACCAUAUUUCGAGGUUCCAACUUUAUUACCUUCAACAAAAAGAGGUGAAAUCUUGGAAGUUUUGAAACAAAAUAAUGGAUUUCGACGAGUACGAGUAUUUGGAAAAAACCGUUGAGGAGCAGGAAGAUCCGAAGAAGACGAAAGACGGAGGAGGAUCGGAGGAUAAAAGCGAGAAAAGCUAUAGGAAGAGAGAUGGAGAUAGAGAGGAAGAGGAUGAUGAGGGCAAGAGGAGCAGCAAGAAAUCGAGAAGCGGCCGCGAUGAGGACGACGAGGAGAGGCGAGAUCGGGAUAAGGACCGCCAUAGAAGCAGCCGCGACAGGGAUAGGGAAAGGGAGAGAGAUAGAGAUAAGGAUUUAGAGAGGAGGGGUAGCAGAGAGAGGGAUAGCAGAGAGAGGGAGAAGGAAAGGGAGAGAGAAAGAAGAGAAAAAGAUAAGGAGAAAGAGAGGGAUAGGAGAGAGAAGGAAAAGGAGAGAGAGAGGAGGGAAAGAGAGAAGGAAAAGGAGAAAGAGAGGGAGAUAGACCGGAGAGAGAGAAGCAGUAGUAGGUCGAGGAGGCACGAAAGUGAUCGUGAGAUAGAGAGGGAACGGGAGAGAGAUAGGAGAGAGAGGAGCAGUAGUAGGUCGAGGAGGCACGAGAGUGAUCGUGAGCUAGAGAGGGAGCGGGAGAGAGAUAGGAGAGAGAGAAGCAGUAGUAGGUUGAGGAGACACGAGAGUGAACGCGAUCAAGAGAGGGAACGUGAAAUUGACAUCAGAGAUAGCAGGAGAUUUAAGGAUAAGAAAGAUGCAGUGGAGCCUGAGGCUGAUCCUGAGAGGGACCAGAGAACUGUUUUUGCUUACCAGAUGCCUCUAAAAGCAACUGAGAGAGAUGUCUAUGAAUUCUUCUCAAAAGCAGGCAAGGUAAGGGAUGUUCGGCUGAUCAUGGAUAGAAAUUCAAGAAGAUCAAAGGGGGUUGGGUACAUUGAGUUUUAUGAUGUGAUGUCUGUGCCAAUGGCAAUAGCAUUGUCUGGUCAACUGCUUCUUGGUCAACCUGUGAUGGUUAAACCUUCAGAGGCCGAAAAGAAUCUUGUUCAGUCCAAUACUUCUGGUGCAGGCGCAGGUGGUGUUGCUGGACCAUAUGGAGCUGUUGAUAGAAAACUAUAUGUAGGGAACUUGCAUUUUAAUAUGACAGAAAUGCAGCUUAGACAGAUAUUUGAACCUUUUGGACCUGUGGAGCUUGUGCAACUACCACUUGACCUUGAGACUGGACAGUGCAAAGGUUUUGGGUUUGUCCAGUUUGCUCAACUUGAACAUGCAAAAGCAGCUCAAAGUGCCUUGAACGGGAAACUGGAGAUUGUUGGUCGAACCAUUAAGGUUUCAUCUGUUACAGAUCAUGUUGUUACCCAAGAUGCUACGGCAAAAUCUGCAGACUUUGAUGAUGAUGAGGGUGGUGGCUUGGCUUUGAACGCACAAUCAAGAGCGUUGCUUAUGCAGAAACUGGAUCGCUCUGGUAUUGCAACAAGCAUUACGAGCUCUCUUGGAGUACCCCUCGUUAAUGGGUCUGCUCCAAAUCAACAGGCAACAUUACCUGUCAAUGGCCAAGGGGCAUUUCCAGCACCAGUUCUACAGCCAAUCAUGUCUACUACAGCCCUUGAACCUAUUGGACAGCCCAGCGAGUGUUUGCUGUUGAAGAAUAUGUUUGAUCCUGCAACUGAGACGGAACCUGAUUUUGAUUUGGAUAUUAAAGAGGAUGUUGAAGAAGAAUGCAGCAAAUAUGGCAGGGUGAAGCAUAUUUAUGUGGACAAAAACAGUGGCGGUUGUGUCUAUCUUCGAUUUGAUUCGACGGAAGCAGCGGGUAAAGCUCAACGUGCAAUGCACAUGAGAUGGUUUGCAGGCAGAUCAAUAUCAGCCUUAUUUAUGCAACCCCAUGAAUAUGAAGCGAGGUUUAAAGGUUGAUUGAAGUUCAGCAGCUUUCACAUUAUCAAGUGAGUUUUGCAAAUUUUUCGAUGUGGGGUUUUUAUUUUCGGUUCCUCAUGUUUGCUUCAGUGCAUAUAUAUAUAUUUAGGAUAAUUGUCUUGACUGGGUUCAGAUUAUUUUUAUUUUUAUUUCAGAUUGGUACACAAUGAGCUAAAUGACAAUACUUGGAGGAGGCAAAUAAUUUUGUUUGUAUAGGGGCACGUAUGUGCAAUUCAGGGGUACCGAAGUACGAACAGGGGCAUACAUGUGCAAUUUAGGGGUACUAAAGUACAAACAGGGGCACACAUGUGCAAUUCAUACAAUAAUUAACUAUAAGCAUUUAAAUUACAUAAAUAUAAUCUAAAAAUUCAAAUAGAAAUUCAAUUACAUAAUGAAAUACUAUGGACUUACAUUGACGACUAGAGCGUGGAAAUAUGAUCGAGCUAAUCUGUGAUUUUUGCCUUUUCUCGAUUUAGAUUCGGUUGAGAUUUAUCUUGAUCUAAAUAAGUAAUUAUAUUCAA